AGGAAAUUUUGCUCUUUUAGUAUUUGUCCAGCAAGUCUUCAAACAUUGAAGUCCCAC
Molecule: small nuclear RNA, 57 nt
Filed under: Astyanax mexicanus (Mexican tetra)
Lineage: Eukaryota; Metazoa; Chordata; Actinopteri; Characiformes; Acestrorhamphidae
Description: U7 small nuclear RNA (ENSAMXG00005006166.1)
Rfam family: U7 small nuclear RNA
About the family: Animal histone pre-mRNAs are spliced by a different mechanism than nuclear pre-mRNAs and self-splicing introns. This processing involves the U7 snRNP, which contains only one RNA species: U7.
Source: RNAcentral